AUAAGACUGGGAUAACUUCGGGAAACCGGAGCUAAUACCGGAUAAGAUUUUGAACCGCAUGGUUCAAUAGUGAAAGACGGCCUUGCUGUCACUUAUAGAUGGAUCCGCGCCGUAUUAGCUAGUUGGUAAGGUAACGGCUUACCAAGGCAACGAUACGUAGCCGACCUGAGAGGGUGAUCGGCCACACUGGAACUGAGACACGGUCCAGACUCCUACGGGAGGCAGCAGUAGGGAAUCUUCCGCAAUGGGCGAAAGCCUGACGGAGCAACGCCGCGUGAGUGAUGAAGGUCUUCGGAUCGUAAAACUCUGUUAUCAGGGAAGAACAAACGUGUAAGUAACUGUGCACGUCUUGACGGUACCUGAUCAGAAAGCCACGGCUAACUACGUGCCAGCAGCCGCGGUAAUACGUAGGUGGCAAGCGUUAUCCGGAAUUAUUGGGCGUAAAGCGCGCGUAGGCGGUUUUUUAAGUCUGAUGUGAAAGCCCACGGCUCAACCGUGGAGGGUCAUUGGAAACUGGAAAACUUGAGUGCAGAAGAGGAAAGUGGAAUUCCAUGUGUAGCGGUGAAAUGCGCAGAGAUAUGGAGGAACACCAGUGGCGAAGGCGACUUUCUGGUCUGUAA
Molecule: ribosomal RNA, 620 nt
Filed under: Staphylococcus sp.
Lineage: Bacteria; Bacillati; Bacillota; Bacilli; Caryophanales; Staphylococcaceae
Description: bacterial SSU rRNA
Rfam family: Bacterial small subunit ribosomal RNA
Source: RNAcentral